CUCCAUCGCAGCCGGACAAGUAGUGGGGGAACAUGGCGGCGGGGUAAGUACAGGGAUUGAACUCCGGACCUUGCACUUUCGAGGCAGGCACCAGAACCACUGAGCUAAAUCGCCAGCCCCCACAGUUUAUUCUCUAUAAGGACAAAAUGGGGAGCAACUUGGAUUGUGACCUAAAGUUCUUGUCUGCAGAUGGAUUCUGUGAGGAAAUCAAGGUGUGGUUCUGGGAUCAAAAUCAUUGAGAGGAACAAUGUGAGUCACCAUUCUGUCUGGGAGGCAGCCAAGUAUCUCGUUAAUAGGUUCUGCUAUUAAAAUAUUAUACCCUUUCCUUUCAUUCAUGACAAAUCCAAAUGAAUGCAACUUGGCAAGCAACAGGAAGGGGAAUGAAUACAUUAAAUUAAUUCUUGUGCUGACUAUUAAUGUAGUGCUACAAAAAGGGACUCACAACUAAGAAUUUGCCUUAAAUCUCAGAGGAGGCUUCGGACUUGGACUUUUCAGCAGUGCUAAAACUGUUAGGACUUUGGCAACUCUUGGAGAUGGACUAAAUGCUUUUUUUUGUAUAAAGGGAUAUGCACGAGUCUUUGGGGGGCCAGGGGCAGAAUGUUAUGGCUUGUGUCUAGAUAUCCCCCCAAAGUCUCAUGCUUUUUCUGAGGUGGUUGAAUCUACCGUGUGUGGUGCUGGGAGUAAAGGGCAUGUGAUUACUAAACCACAUAAGUGAUUGGUUUGGCACUACCUUAAUCCCUGUAGUCUGGAUGAAAUAAAAGGGGCAGAAAGACACUGUUAAAGUCUCUUGUUGCUUUUGCUGUCUUCUGCCUCCAUGAGCUGUUGCCCUUCUGCCAUCCUGCCUUGGAGCUAGCCGAUUAUGGACUGAAACCUCUACAAACUGUAAGCCAAAUAAACCUUUUCCC
Molecule: long non-coding RNA, 905 nt
Organism: Heterocephalus glaber (naked mole-rat)
Lineage: Eukaryota; Metazoa; Chordata; Mammalia; Rodentia; Bathyergidae
Source: Ensembl